This is a non-coding RNA of Misgurnus anguillicaudatus (oriental weatherfish), 709 nucleotides long. The record is from RefSeq and is a predicted model, not a curated record. Lineage: Eukaryota; Metazoa; Chordata; Actinopteri; Cypriniformes; Cobitidae.
CAAGCUCUGACUCCAGCUCUAGCUCUACUUCUGACUCUUCAGAUGAGGACAAGAAGAAAAAGGAGCGUAAAAAGAAGAAUCACAAGAAUAGAAGCAAAAAAAGAAAUAAGGAAAACAAAAAGGUCAAGAGGUCAAAGGGAAAAGGAGAGCGAGUUGCCACAAUCAGUGAUGUGGUAAGAAGAUAUCGACGUGUCCUUAAACUUGUGCAGAAAGGUUUCAGGAUGACCAAAGCUUUCAAGAAAGCCGGGGUUUCAAGAAAUGCUGUAAAAGACACAGCAGCAAUUUCAGAAAUUUAUAUAGUAGACAAAAGUGUACUGGAUCAGUUCAAGGGAAAAUACACACUUUUGAAACUAGCACAACAUUGUCAGAAAAAAAUUGUUGGUGAAUUGGCAGAAAAGAUAAAUGAAAUGAAAAACAACAAUCAGCUAAUCCCUUUUACUGUAAAAAAAAACUGAAAAAAAUUAGUGCAACAAUAUGUGAACCAGAUAGUUGUUGACUCUAAAGGUUAAAUCGAGUUGUUUUUCAUUUGUUAAUUUUUUUUAUCUUGAGCAAUAACAUGUUGAUGUAUAGUUGGUCAAGUUACAGUUGUUUUCUCCUACACCACACACAUCUCCGAUACGACAGUUUAGACUUUUAGAUUGAUUAUUUUAGUUAAUUGAACUGUUAAAAAACAGUUCUGUGCUACAAGUGCAUGUUUUUUUUUUUUUUU